CCUACGUUUAAAAAUAUUCCUCGUGAUUUCCGGUGUCGUACUACAAUGCAAUAAUUCUAGAAAAAGGAGUAGAACUCAUUCAUCAACAAUAGAAAUAAAGAAAGAGAGAGAGAGUGACAUACGAAAAGUGGCGACAGAGAAAGGCGUCCCUGGUUUGAACACGUUCCCGUGCAUGUACGUAGCGAGUGCCAGCGUGGAGCACCAAACGUUUUUGGCACCAAUAUUUAAAUGGCUUCAACAGGACGCCGCUCACACAGUCCACGCAGCUGGCUUAGACGAUGGAAGUACGUAUUCUUCGUCUGGUAGCUGAUUUUGAGAGUUUUCGAGUGGGGCGCAAGAACUGAAAAUGUUCGAAGUAGAUUCACCUGCAAGUGGUGUGUGCUUACAACGCGUGCCAAUCAGCUGGUCUUCGGUGUGCUUUGGGGAGUCAACGGCUACCUCUCACAAGCUUUCCGCGUACUGAAGCUGGGUGCUGAUGUCACUUCAGGAUGAAGAACCGUUCUAAAAAACGCAAACGACAUAAUCCUGAUCCAUUGCAAGAGCUCCGACAUGACUGCCUCAGCAAUGGCCGAGUGCCUCUGCAGUGCCACCACAAGAUCCCACUGCCUCACUGUUCAUCGGAGAAUUGACAUGUUUUCCUCGCCAGCGUGUGUUGUGUAUGCAGCUACUUGAAACGCUCCGCACGCCUGAGUGUCUCUACACAGAUUCGUCAUGAUUGUGAUCACUCAAUGUCUCUUUAAACACUGUACCACAUUGUCCAACAAUUUUGACAUGCCUAUUACAAAAUCAUUUAUAUGUUUUGUUUUCUGGAGUGAACUUUGUUA
RNAcentral lists this long non-coding RNA (824 nucleotides) under Penaeus japonicus. Its description in RNAcentral is "uncharacterized LOC122258709". Lineage: Eukaryota; Metazoa; Arthropoda; Malacostraca; Decapoda; Penaeidae. The record is from RNAcentral.